Molecule: ribosomal RNA, 305 nt
Filed under: uncultured bacterium
Lineage: Bacteria
Description: partial 16S ribosomal RNA
Rfam family: Bacterial small subunit ribosomal RNA
Source: RNAcentral
CAUGACCUACGGGGGGCAGCAGUGGGGAAUAUUGCACAAUGGGGGAAACCCUGAUGCAGCAACGCCGCGUGAGUGAAGAAGUAUCUCGGUACGUAAAGCUCUCUCAGCAGGGAAGAAAAAAAGUCUUUGGCUUUGGACGGUACCUGACUAAGAAGCCCCGGCUAACUACGUGCCAGCAGCCGCGGUAAUACGUAGGGGGCAAGCGUUAUCCGGAUUUACUGGGUGUAAAGGGAGCGUAGACGGCAGCGCAAGGCUGGAGUGAAAUGCCGGGGCUCAACCCCGGAACGGCUUUGGAAGCUGAGCAG